This is a long non-coding RNA of Mus caroli (Ryukyu mouse), 366 nucleotides long. RefSeq lists it as uncharacterized. NCBI's taxonomy places the organism in Eukaryota, Metazoa, Chordata, Mammalia, Rodentia, Muridae. The record is from RefSeq and is a predicted model, not a curated record.
CGCAGCGGCGGUGACUGACAGCGGCUGCUCCGGGGACGGGCGCGCACCCCGCUCCCGCCCCGCCUCCCAGUGCUUGAAAGCAGGAAUCUGAAGAGCAGGACCUGGCAAGAGAGGUCUAAAUGUCAUCGCCUAGAACCACCGGAUAACUUGAGCCCUGGAACCUGUCCCCGAUUAGGCCUGAGGUGGAUCUCUGUGUUCUGGGACUGAAGCUGGAGCUGAGACCACAGGUGCUGGCUGGAGGGCCUAGGACGCCUGUUUUCACGAAGAAAUAGGCUCCGGACUCCAGCAAGGAAGCUUCCCCGUUCUGUCACUCAGGAAAUCCUCUGUGUAGACGCUGCUUCUUUGAACACACAUUCCUUGCUAUCA